This 433-nucleotide ribosomal RNA is filed under the name uncultured bacterium. RNAcentral's name for it is "partial 16S ribosomal RNA". It matches the Rfam family "Bacterial small subunit ribosomal RNA", at positions 29 to 507 of the family's 1533-position model. The record is from RNAcentral.
AACGAACGCUGGCGGCAUGCCUAACACAUGCAAGUCGAACGAGACCUUCUGGUCUAGUUGCGCACGGGUGCGUAACGCGUGGGAACCUGCCUUUAGGUUCGGAAUAACUUAGAGAAAUUUGUGCUAAUACCGGAUGAUGUCUUCGGACUAAUGAUUUAUCGCCUUUAGAUGGGCCCGCGUUGGAUUAGCUAGUUGGUGGGGUAAAGGCCUACCAAGGCGACGCUCCAUAGCUGGUCUGUGAGGAUGAUCAGCCACACUGGGACUGAGACACGGCCCAAGCUCCUAAGGGAGGCAGCAGUGGGGAAUAUUGGAGAAUGGGCGAAAGGCGGGGCCAGCAAGGCCGCGUGAGGGAAGAAGGCCUUAGGGUUGUAAAAGCCUUUUAGCCGGGAGGGUAAUGACAGUAGCGGGAGAAUAAGCUCCGGCUAACUACGUG